RNAcentral lists this ribosomal RNA (301 nucleotides) under uncultured bacterium. Its description in RNAcentral is "partial 16S ribosomal RNA". It matches the Rfam family "Bacterial small subunit ribosomal RNA", at positions 509 to 807 of the family's 1533-position model. The record is from RNAcentral.
CAGUCGCCGCGGUAAUACGGAGGGUGCAAGCGUUAAUCGGAAUUACUGGGCGUAAAGCGCACGCAGGCGGUUUGUUAAGUCAGAUGUGAAAUCCCCGAGCUUAACUUGGGAACUGCAUCUGAAACUGGCAAGCUAGAGUCUUGUAGAGGGGGGUAGAAUUCCAGGUGUAGCGGUGAAAUGCGUAGAGAUCUGGAGGAAUACCGGUGGCGAAGGCGGCCCCCUGGACAAAGACUGACGCUCAGGUGCGAAAGCGUGGGGAGCAAACAGGAUUAGAUACCCCUGUAGUCCCUGUCUCUUAUAC